This is a non-coding RNA of Chelonoidis abingdonii (Abingdon island giant tortoise), 1145 nucleotides long. Lineage: Eukaryota; Metazoa; Chordata; Testudines; Testudinidae. The record is from RefSeq and is a predicted model, not a curated record.
GGUCCUGGCCUCUGGAACAACUUGAGACAGGCUUCCAAUCAUUUCCUUGUAACAAGAGGGGCACCACACCAAGCACAUAGCUGCUGGCAUCUGUUGGAAUGGCUGUAGACUUGGAAACAUCUUCAGCUUCAGCCCAUAGAUUUACUGCAAGUGACAAGUUCAUUCUUGCCUGUGAUCUGAUCUUGCUUGGGACCUUUCUGAUAUUCUGACUCCAUUCUCCCAGUUCUGCUUCAGAGUCACACUUGGUACCCUAGCUGAUGAACCACCAAGUAGCACAUAUACACCAGAGUUCCUUUUUGUCUUGCUAACAGGCAGCAUUUCACCAGUAUCACCCAUCUGAAUACACUGGAUCAGCUGAACCAAAGUUUUUUCCCAAGGCAUGAUGGACUUGCUGGAAUGAACAGAACUGGAAAUGGGUAAGUAAAGCAGUUGUGUGAUCUAAACAUCACAAUGACUAUCUCAUCUUAAAAGAAAUGGCUUAAAUAUGAAACACCAUUUCUCCCAUCACUGAAAAAGUUCUUUUUAAGACAAAUUCUAGAAAAGCCAGGUGGUUCCCGUCACAGGUGGCCAGCCACAGUAACUGAAGUAGGUUCAGCUCACUUGUGUCAGCACAUGCACUUCCAUUUGGCCAAUUAAAAGGACUGAGCAGCACCUAGGGGUUAUCCGGGGGCAAAUCUCAGGGGAGAGAGCUGGUGAAUCAGUGCUGCCUGGUCAGUCAGGAAGGGCAGCUGAGUUGCUAGAGCUAGAAUGUGUUUCCUGGAGGCAGGCUGAAUGCAAGGAGAGUAACAAGAAAGGAUUCCUAGCUCGCUUCCCCAAGCCAUAGAACUAGGGCUAGAGGGUUUGAGAGGACUGAAGGUAGCUGCAGUGGUGGCAGUAGAGGGAGGUGCCUGCUGGCUCUAAGCCAGGGAGCUAGAACUGAGGGCCAGAGAGGGCUGAAAGAAUGAAAGAUGCCUGCAACAUCAUGCUGGAGAGUUGGACCCCAAGGAACAAGGAGAGGGCCAGGGCAGUGCGAGUUGCUUCCUGGUAAAGAUGAACUCCCAGCACAGGCUAUAGGGAUGCCUACUGGGCAGAGUAGGGUUGCACCUCACUUGUUAGGGUUGGGACAGCUGUCCUGGCAGAGGGACAGAAGAGGACCAACAAGGAGC